This 511-nucleotide ribosomal RNA is filed under the name unidentified nematode Sourhope farm. RNAcentral's name for it is "SSU rRNA". It matches the Rfam family "Eukaryotic small subunit ribosomal RNA", at positions 42 to 551 of the family's 1831-position model. Lineage: Eukaryota; Metazoa; Nematoda. The record is from RNAcentral.
GAUUAAGCCAUGCAUGUCUAAGUAUAAACGAUUUAAUCGUGAAACCGCGAAUGGCUCAUUAUAACAGCUAUAAUUUACUUGAUCUUGACACAAUCCUACUUGGAUAACUGUGGUAAUUCUAGAGCUAAUACAUGCAUUAAAGCUCUGACCUCACGGGAAGAGUGCAUUUAUUAGAACAAAACCAAGCGGCUUCGGCUGUUUCUGGUUGACUCAUAGUAACUGAGCUGAUCGCAUGGUCUUGCACCGGCGACGUGUCUUUCAAGUAUCUGCCGUAUCAACUUUCGAUGGUAGUGUAUCUGACUACCAUGGUGAUCACGCGUAACGGAGAAUAAGGGUUCGGCUCCGGAGAGUUCGCCUGAGAAAUCGCGAACACAUCUAAGGAAGGCAGCAGGCGCGAAAAUUACCCACUCUCAGCACGAGGAGGUAGUGACGAAAAAUAACGAGACCGUUCUCUUAUGAGGCCGGUCAUCGGAAUGGGUACAAGUUAAACCCUUUAACGAGUAUCUAGAGA